Molecule: ribosomal RNA, 492 nt
Filed under: uncultured bacterium
Lineage: Bacteria
Description: partial 16S ribosomal RNA
Rfam family: Bacterial small subunit ribosomal RNA
Source: RNAcentral
AGUGAACGCUGGCGGUAGGCCUAACACAUGCAAGUCGAACGGCAGCACAGUAAGAGCUUGCUCUUACGGGUGGCGAGUGGCGGACGGGUGAGGAAUACAUCGGAAUCUACUUUUUCGUGGGGGAUAACGUAGGGAAACUUACGCUAAUACCGCAUACGACCUACGGGUGAAAGCAGGGGAUCUUCGGACCUUGCGCGAUUGAAUGAGCCGAUGUCGGGUUAGCUAGUUGGCGGGGUAAAGGCCCACCAAGGCGACGAUCCGUAGCUGGUCUGAGAGGAUGACCAGCCGCACUGGAGCUGAAACACGGUCCAGGGUCCUAAGGGAGGCAGCAGUGGGGAAGAUGGGACAAUGGGCGCAAGCCUGAUCCAGCCAUACCGCGUGGGUGAAGAAGGCCUUCGGGUUGUAAAGCCCUUUUGUUGGGAGAGAAAAGCAGCAGGUUAAUACCCCGCUGUUCUGACGGUACCCAAAGAAUAAGCACCGGCUAACUUCGUG